Molecule: RNase P RNA, 387 nt
Filed under: marine bacterium AO1-C
Lineage: Bacteria; Pseudomonadati; Bacteroidota; Cytophagia; Cytophagales; Cytophagaceae
Description: Bacterial RNase P class A
Rfam family: Bacterial RNase P class A
About the family: Ribonuclease P (RNase P) is a ubiquitous endoribonuclease, found in archaea, bacteria and eukarya as well as chloroplasts and mitochondria. Its best characterised activity is the generation of mature 5'-ends of tRNAs by cleaving the 5'-leader elements of precursor-tRNAs.
Source: Rfam by way of RNAcentral
AAUGCAAGUGGCCUUAUCGCUCCAUAAUAUUAUGGGGAGGAAAGUCCGGGCAACACAGGGCGUCGUACUUCCUAACGGGAAGGCUUCUGAGAGGUUAAGCGAUCAGAAGACAGAAAGUGCCACAGAAAAUAUACCGCUUCCUUUGGGAGUAAGGGUGAAAUGGCGAGGUAAGAGCUCACCGCGUUCUGAGUGAUCAGAAUGGCAGGGUAAACCUUACGAGUUGAAAGACCAAAUAAGCAGGCGCAGCCAGCCUUGGCUGGCGAAAGGGCUGCUCGUCUGAGUCUGCGGGUAGGUCGAUGGAGCUUUUUUGCAAAAAAGGGCCUAGAUAAAUGAUGAGGGUUCCAGCUUGCUGGAAAACAGAACCCGGCUUAUAAACUUGCAUUUUCU